AGCUGUCACCAGCAGCAUAUUGUAUUCUCCCUCCUAUCUUGAACCAGUUCAGUCUCAAGACUGCUUUCUCAACCUCAGCAUGUUUUCUCCUGAGUUGAUGUCCCCUAUUGUUUUAUUCUCACCUCCUAAUGUAUUUUUUUAAUAAUUUCACACUUGAGUGUACAGGGAAAUGGUGUGGGUUUGAAGUGGGGCUAACAGUCCACACACAGGCAGCUCAAGGAAGUCAAAACCAAUAGUGAUAAACCACUAAAUUUUGGAUGUUAUAAAAGGUAGUCUUCAUUCUGCAUAUUUAAGGCUAAAUUCAAAUCUGGCAUAAGCAGGUUGUCAUGUAAAUAAUAUUUUGAUAUUUGAAAUGCAGUUACAUGAAAGACUUUUUGUUAAAUCCAGUUUUGUAUAUUCAGGUGUAAUUGUACCGUUACCUAGUUAUGAGUGCACCUUUGGCAUGCUCCAAUUCAUACAUAACCAUUUGGACAACUCAGUAAAGGCAAAUUGUACCCCGCAGGAUGAAAACCUUAUUAAUAUGAUUGCUGUUAAUUACUACUGUUAGCUUUCCAUCAGAGAUCAAACCUCUCUCACACUAAGUACCUUCAAAAUACCUGAAUUCGUUAUCUCCUAUAUUUUAUGAUGGAGGUACUCAGGACCUCCCAGAGGCAGCCUGUAAAGCCCUAAGCUACAAAUGAACUGUUGUCUUCCUUCCUGAGGUGACCAUGUUUUUUGAGACAGAGAAAAAAAAAAAAACAAAAAAAAAAAAACACUGAUGAAGCGAUUAGUCACUGGCUCUAUUUGCUUGUUUCGGAGGUAGUAGCAAACUCUGCAGUAAAAUGACAGCUAAUCAUCUGAUUCUUUUCAUUUUGACGCUACAAGUUAGGAAGAGUGUUAAUGAAAAAAAACCAGCAAUUAGCUAAGGUGCAUUACAUUUUUGCAUUGCAGUUUUUUCUAGCAAUGAGUUGUUUCUAGCAAUCUUUUUGGUCAUCCUUCUCUAUGUUUUUGGCAAGUAAAAAACGCGCCCAACUGUAAACCCUAGGAGGAGGCUAAUGAAACCUGUGUGAAAUGAGUUGCAGUCAGAACCAUACCGCAACAGAAGAAGAGCAUACAGAAAAUAAUCAUCCUCUCCAUGCUGAUGAGUUUUGUUUUAAAAUGUGUUAGGAGCAAAGUUGUGCUAUCCAAGAUGCUUGAGCUUGAGCUAUGCUCAGGUGUAUGUAUGUGAGCUUGUGCGUAGGGGGCAGGGAUUGAUGGAGUGAAUGAAAAUGUGCCCCAUCUGCACAUUGGACAGGAAAAAAAGACAAAAGGGUGAAUUCCCAUUUUCGCUUUGAGUCAAGAAAUGAACGUAGUAAAAAGCCCAGGAACUGUCAUGUCAUACCACGCUAGGGCACUUCUGUAGUACAGCAAGAUAUGGUGAGGGCAGAGCAGCAGCGUGAGAAUGCACUGGAGGAUGUGGUCUACCUUCCCUUGAAGUGACUCCACGUACCAGUUGCAGGCCAGCUUCUAUGUACACCACUGCGAUGAGUGCUGUGAGCCACUGGAUCAGGCAUCAGAUGCCGUUUACACUUCAGCUCCUGCAGCAGAAAAGACACUUCAUUGUCAUGUGCCAAAGAGAAGGCUGAGACCAGAGCCACAUCUGCAAAUCUCCGGAUCUAGCAAUGCAAGUGCUUUCUUCAGCAGCAAAGCCAUUUAAAUAACUUGCUACUCCAGGUCACCACCACUGUUGUGGCUCUUCGUCACAGUAUAUCGCACUGUCAGGAGCAUCUGUUAAAGCUGCUUGGAUCAAUGAAAUGAUCCAGGUUAAAAAUCCCUCUUGGAAACAGCUUGAGAGUUUGUUUUGCUUUGUUUUAACCAAAAUCAUUUCACUAUCAAUUCUACUUUCUCCUUAGCACAACUGGCAGAUUUACAAGCAGCAGUGAGUUGCUAGAAGUCAGAAACUCCUCUUCUACUGGCUCUGUUGCUGAUCAAAACCAUGGAUCGCCUACGCAACAAGUGCCUCCUUAGCACACAAAGCUGAGGGGGCCAGCAAGUAUCACUGAGCAACAGCAUUCCAGGAACAGCACUUCAGUGCCAGUGCAAACAGAAUUAAGUCCUUUAGUUGUGGCUGAAGUAUGGUUUCUGACAAAAUCAUUUCAAGGAAGAGGAUUUAGGAAAUCUUAAACUCUGCAGACUGUUCUGUAUUUAAAAAUUGCAGGUGUAAUUUUCUCACUCAGGCAGGUAUUGUUGGUUUGCUGAUUUUUUUUUUUAGAUUUUUUUUCCCGUUGGCAGUUACACCAAUAAAGUCUCCGAUGUGGUUGCAACUAUACCAAUCUAGAAUUAUAUAGAAUAGAAUUACUAGAGUAGAAUAGAAUUAUUAUCUGUAUAUAGUCUAGAAUGCUAACUGUCCUGUUUCUCUUAUAUGAAUUAUUCUGUGAAUAUAAUGCACCUUGUUAUGGCUUCAUACUUAAACAGUGAAAUAGCAGAUUUAUUUACAGGAGGUUAGGGAAUGCUCAGAGCUAACUGCCUCAUACAGUCCUUAACAGAAAAAACUUAAAUGCAGUAUCUCUGAAAUAAGAAGCUUCUCUCACUAAACUUUUUCAGAAGCCUUUCUCUCUGCCUUCAUCUAUAACCUGACAGAACAAACAUGAAUGUAUGCGCCUGCAUCCCCAGAUAUAUCUUUCAUACGCACACAUCAAGAAAUGUAAAAAGCUACACAGCAUAGUUGCUUUGCAUAAUGAGUUUCAUUUUUUUUCACAGGUCAGCACCUUAAGCGAACCUUGGAAAAACUAUUGUGUGAUCAGUCAUCGCACUGAAGCAGCAGCACCCGUUCGGUAAAGGCAGUCUUGGAUAAAAAGCUGAAUGCUGUGGUUUCAGUGACUUAUCGUUGAAACCUUGUGGUUUCUGUGUAGGAGGUUGUACAAGCUGGACACGUUUGACAUCCUUGUUUCUGAGCUGUGAAAUCUGUACAUCUAAUUUAUGAAAAUUAACUCUGGUUUAAUUUUAUUCUUUUUUUUAAUGAAGUCAACAUAUUUUCCCUGCAUUCAGUGGAAACAAUAAUGGAAAUGUUUUAAGAUAUACUGUGAACCUGUUUUGACCUUGAAAGGGAGGAGAAUCAAGAUAUUCUUGAUUAUGAUUAAGGUCUAAGAAGGAAAUAAAAAAUAUAGAGAGUUUCAGGUGAGAAGAAAGUAUUUUUCAAGUGUGGAGAUAAAUAGAGAAAUUAGCUAUGGGAAGUCACAUAGACAUUAUGAAACAAAAAUCUCCCAAGUUGAGAAUAUGAUUUGGAAAAAAAAAUCAUUAAGAUAAUUUAGAGUAAAACGUGGUACUGGUACUAUUUAGGAUAACCUGCAAUAUCUGUGGGCUUUCAGAUGGUCUAAACACACUAGUAAAUUUAUACACAAGGCAAAUGCAAGACUAACGGAUCUGCAGCAGUAGCAGUUGAAAUCACACACACACAAACAUAAUUUAUCACUAGAUCAGUUAAUGUGCUUUUUUCUUUCCCAGUUCAGUUUAAUGCUCAUUCCGGUGAAUUGAUCCAGUUCUUUGCCAGUUGAAGUGCACUAAUGUUGGUGCAAAGGACAAAGCAGGUAUGCACAGCUGGAACUGGAAGAAGAGGAAAAUGUAUUUCUUGGCUUCUCUGUGCUGCGUAGUUGUAGAAGAAGCGCGCCAUGUCUGCAUUGCCAAACUGGAAUUGUGAGAGUCAUGGACCCACCUGCAUUCCCGUCUCUUCCUUACUUGUCUGCUGCCUUCUGCUCUGCUGAGCACCUACCAUCAUGUAAAUCCCCAGAAAGCUGAGCUGUGACAAUAAUGGAUACCCAAGUUUGUAAUACUGGCAAAUCAUAUUCCCUUCUCUGGCAUGAGCAGCAGAGCCACACCGACUAACAGCAAGUUUUGCCUCUGUCAGGUAAGUUCCCAGAAGCACAUACACCAUUCCUUGUGCCCAAACACGGUAAGUGAAUCUAUGGAAACGUAUUUAAAAUGAUCAAAAACCUGAUCAAAGAACUAUUUUCUGAAUAUAAAGCAAAUGUGAAGAAGAAGAACAUGCAAUGUACAAAACAAAGUUUCUUGCUAAAAUGUAAAAAAAUUGGCUACCUAGGUGAAAAAUACCUACUCAAUUUGUUUGUGGAAGUACAAAAAUCUGUCUGGAAGUGUUCGUCAAAGAUUAUAUAAUACUUCUGUGUAAGCAGAGAUUGAAAGUGUGACCACCCACUAUCAAUUCAGUUCAGGGAGGACUGGCAAGAUUCAUAGUACUAAUUUUAAGUAAUUUCUAUAUGGAAACAUCAAUAGAAAACAAUAGAUUUUAAUUGGUCCUGGUCAUUGCUCCUCCUGAUGGACCUGUUCCUUUUCAUAAAGG
This is a long non-coding RNA of Oxyura jamaicensis (ruddy duck), 4312 nucleotides long. RefSeq lists it as uncharacterized. The transcript has 4 exons. NCBI's taxonomy places the organism in Eukaryota, Metazoa, Chordata, Aves, Anseriformes, Anatidae. The record is from RefSeq and is a predicted model, not a curated record.